CGCAGGGAGCGAAGCCCAAGCUAACUCCGGGGAGGAUGCCUCAGCACUUUCUCUAUUAUGCAUUUCCAGCACAAGGAAAGCUAAUUCCUCCGCUGAGGGCCUCAAUCAGGCAUUUAUUUGACACUCAUGAUGCAUGAACGGCUAAACACUAGUCUAAGCGGAGGAUCAGCCGCUAGUUUAUAGCUCGCAAGGGUUUUUUUUUAUGCAGGAGGGAAACAUUCUGGCCGGGAGUUUUGACUGGCACCCCUCCCCACGGCCCUCUCCUGAUCUCCAGUCUUCCCUGCUGUCCCCCCUCGCCUCUCCUCGCUGCCUGCUGGUUCGGUCGAAGUUCUCAGGCAUCCCAGCAGGGCCGGGCCGUGCUGCGCUGCCGGGCCCCUACACACCGCGGCGGGGAAACGCUCCCCCGGGGCACGGAGGCAUAACAUGGAGCAGGGAGAGUCACGGAGACAACAUGGAGGGGGGAGAAGAGGAGGAGAGGAGAAACCAUAUGGAGCAGGAGAGAGGGAGGUAACGCGGAGCGAGGGAGCCGGGAGAGCCUGGGAAGGAGCAAGGAGCAGGGCGGCCGCCGCGGUCCGAGGCACUGGGGCACGCGGCAGUGGCCCCGGCGAGGCCUGCGGGGGCUGGGGGGCACGGCGGCGAGGAGGAUCGAACCCCACUGCCAGCGCUCCCGGGAGGCUGCGCUUUCUCCUCCAUCUCCCCCGUGCCUUCUCGGCCACUGCCCUUUAUUCCUCCUGUGGAGAAUUAAUUUUUCUCCCCUCCCGCUAGCCUCUUUCCAACUGUUGUUCCAGGACUGAAAAAAAAAAUAACAAUUAAGUAGGAGUCAUGUCUUGUGACUUGCACAAUCUCUUCUAACGCCUCAGUUCAAUUUUACACAACAUUUAAUACAAAUAUUAAAAAUCAAUAUAUCAAGGGGGUUGUUAAUGAAAUGUUACAGUGAGUGUGUGUCACCAGAUAGAAUUUCGGUGGGAAACGUGUCUGAUUUAGCAAAAGCUGAAUGCUGUUGUAUUCUUUAUCCUCCUCCUAAAAACAAAAGAUAAAGGUGUUCAUUAAAUCAUAUCAAA
Molecule: long non-coding RNA, 1061 nt
Organism: Colius striatus (speckled mousebird)
Lineage: Eukaryota; Metazoa; Chordata; Aves; Coliiformes; Coliidae
Exons: 2
Source: RefSeq, a predicted model, not a curated record